CAGUAGCCGCGGGAAAACGGAGGGUGCAAGCGUUAAUCGGAAUUACUGGGCGUAAAGCGCACGCAGGCGGUCUGACAAGUCAGAUGUGAAAUCCCCGGGCUUAACCUGGGAACUGCAUUUGAAACUGUCAGGCUGGAGUCUUGUAGAGGGGGGUAGAAUUCCAGGUGUAGCGGUGAAAUGCGUAGAGAUCUGGAGGAAUACCGGUGGCGAAGGCGGCCCCCUGGACAAAGACUGACGCUCAGGUGCGAAAGCGUGGGGAGCAAACAGGAUUAGAUACCCCAGUAGUCCCUGUCUCUUAUAC
This 301-nucleotide ribosomal RNA is filed under the name uncultured bacterium. Its description in RNAcentral is "partial 16S ribosomal RNA". It matches the Rfam family "Bacterial small subunit ribosomal RNA", at positions 509 to 807 of the family's 1533-position model. The record is from RNAcentral.